GACGAACGCUGGCGGCGUGCUUAACACAUGCAAGUCGAACGGAAAGGCCCUGCGUUUGUGGGGUUCUCGAGUGGCGAACGGGUGAGUAACACGUGAGUAACCUGCCCUUGACUUUGGGAUAACGUCAUGAAACUGGGGCUAAUAACGGAUAGGAGCUCCUGCUGCAUGGUGGUGGUUGGAAAUUUUCGGCGGUUGGGGAUGGACUCGCGGCUUAUCAGCUUGUUGGUGGGGUAGUGGCUUACCAAGGCUUUGACGGGUAGCCGGCCUGAGGGGGUGACCCGCCACAUUGGGGCUGGGAUACGGCCCAGCCUCCUACGGGCGGAAGCAGUGGGCAACAUUGCCCAAUGGGCGGAAGCCUGAUGUAGCCCCGCAGCGUGCGGGAUGCCGGCCUUCGGGUUGCAAACCGCUUUCGCACGCGACGAAGCGUGAGUGACGGUAAUGGGUAAAGAAGCACCGGCUAACUACGUG
RNAcentral lists this ribosomal RNA (468 nucleotides) under uncultured bacterium. RNAcentral describes it as "partial 16S ribosomal RNA". It matches the Rfam family "Bacterial small subunit ribosomal RNA", at positions 28 to 507 of the family's 1533-position model. The record is from RNAcentral.